AGCACUAGCUCGCAGGUCUGCAAGCCCUGGGUUGGAUCCUGGCUGUGCCAGGAUUCCUGAGGAGGGGGCUCCUGGGCAAGUUACCGGACUUCACUGGGUUUCAGUCUCUUCACCUGCAAGAUAGGAUUUACUCCGCAGAGAUGUUAUUUCUGAGUGGUUGGGGCACAAGGAACCCGUUGACAAAAACAAAGAAGAAAAUGAUUUUAUCACAGAAUCCUACUUCCAGAAUUAUGGGGAAAUUUUACCCAUAGUAUAAUUCACAAGUCAAAGAGCGAGGAGGGCUGGCAUCUUUCGCUUGGCAGAUACGCUUGGAAGGGGAAGAACGGGAGGCAAGGAAGCGAAAAGGGAAGAAUAUAACAGCAGGAAAUCAGGAAACUUGAAGUCAGGUUCCAACUCCUUCACAAACAGUGUGCGAAGUUGAGUAAGUCACUGAAUCUCUCCUAACCUCAGUUUCCCUCUGAAAAAUGACGGUUGUUUGCAGGCGCAAGAGCUAACACAUGUGUAAGGGUCUUUAAUAAACGGUAAAGGACUACAUACAAGGAAAGUGUUAUUUUGAGUAAGAAUGCUGAGUCCCGAGUUUAGAAGUCCCUUGUGACACUCUAUAGAUGAGACCCACUGACCAGUUGUUGGGGAGGGGAGGGUGCGUGUAAACAGACCAACCCAUUGACCAAGGGACAUGAAAUUGAGGCUCAAAUCUUUGGCAUCCUUUAUGCCAAUUCAGCAGGUGGAGGAACUGUCAAGCCCACCAAAGGAUGUAUCAAUAAUGCAGAAAGAAGGCUCCUGAAAGCAGAAUGCUCGGGUGUUUACCCAGGUAAAGCUGAGAGGGUACCGAGGGGAGGAUGAUCAUCUGAUCACGCGAAGGGAAAAAUACACAGAUGGACACAAUGCAUACCACCCGCCCGCCCAGGGAACCGGGGCAGCUUGCACAACUCUCUAUUGACCUGUCAAUGUUGACUUGUCCUUACUCAUUUACUGGGAUUUAAGAGAAAAAAAGAGAAAUGACAUGUUGUGCAUCUCCCUCGUAAAGGUUCUGAGCGGUGAACCCUGCCAGUCUGUCAUCAUUUGACCCCUCUACGAGGCCUGAAGUCCACCGAUGCUGCUGAAGCUGCCGAGGCUCCGAGAAGAGGAUGUGGUUUUCUUUAAGUAACAGAUGACGUGUUUGGGGGCUAGUGUGUGACUACACAGAGAUGGAGGUGUCAUGAGAGGAAGCAGGCAGCAGCCGCCUCCCAUAAAGACAUAAACAAGGACGAACCGCCCCCACAUGCCUGUGGGGUGGGGUGGGGUGGGGAAUAGCACCACAGCCCUUUCUUGGCUAAAGGAACGGCAAAUUAUCUGAUGAUUCUUUGGUGCUGUAAAACUGUGAGCUCUCAAGUUUUAAAAGAGUAGGAUCUGGACUUCUCUGGUGGCGCAGUGGUGAAGAAUCCACCUGCCAAUGCAGGGGGCACAAGUUCGAUCCCUGGUCCAGGAAGAUCCCACGUGCCGUGGAGCAACUAAGCCUGUGUGCUACAACUACUGAGUCUGUACUCUAGAGCCCUCGAGCCACAACUACUGAGCCCAUGUGCCAUGACUGCUGAAGCCUGAACGCCUAGAGCCUGUGUUCUGCAACAAGAGAAGCCACCACACUGAGAAGCUCACGCACCGCAACCAAGAGUAGCCUCUGCUCUCCGUAACUAGAGAAAGCCCACAUGCAGCAACGAAGACCCAA
This is a long non-coding RNA of Hippopotamus amphibius kiboko, 1705 nucleotides long. RefSeq lists it as uncharacterized. The transcript is spliced from 4 exons. NCBI's taxonomy places the organism in Eukaryota, Metazoa, Chordata, Mammalia, Artiodactyla, Hippopotamidae. The record is from RefSeq and is a predicted model, not a curated record.